AGCUUCUAAGCCACUCUAUUGAGCUGUUGGAAAACGUCUUACAUUGAAAUUCUGAUUUAGAGAUAGGCACAAUCCAUCUGCUUUGCAUACCUUUGCCCUUUAAACCAGUAUUUGUGAUAUAAAGAAGCACACAGCUUGCAGAGUAGCUGGCAGAGAAAUCUUGAGGAGGAAUCUCUGCUCCCACUGCUGCAUUGCAGAGGCCAGAGAAACACAGCAAACUCUGAAUGGGAAUAGAGAAUAUCCACGUCAGUGUGUGAGUGGUGUCCAGAGCAGAUUAAGGAAAAAAAGACUCAUAUUUCAAAGGCAAGGAAGACCUUGGAUGUGCUGGUGUGUGCUUUGGAGUGCAAACCCAGUACAGCAAGAGUGGUACACUCAGAAUUGGGUAAUUCCAUUUCUUAUCUAGAAGAACACCAUGAACAGGUUAAAGGGGCAGAAGUGCAGCAAGCUAUUCCAGAUGCUCCAGUUGCAGUUUACCCACAUUUCUCAUUGCAACAUCCUAUGAAAAGGAAAACCUCACCAAUAAUUUACAAAGAGAAUCACAGAAUCAUUAAAGUUGGGAAAGACUCCCAAACUCAUCAAUCCCAGCUUUCUAAACACAAUUGAGGGAAAUAUUUACAGUAGCUUUAUUAUUAAGAACGUUGCUUAAGAAAAACAUAAAAACAGAAUAAAAAUAACUGAAAAUUAUAACAACUUGUAAUAACCUAUCUCAAAAUUUCUGAAAAACAGAAAAACCUCAAGAAGAAUCUCUCUGAUAGCUGGAUGAGUGAGUAACACAUUUUUGCUGGGAAGGGAGAAUGAAAAUCCAUCCUGAAGGAACAAGAGGUGGGAUAAAAACACCAGAGCUUAACCAUAAGCCAAGACCAGCCACAUACUACCAGUAGUAACUCAAAUUUUGAGGAAAGCUGAGGACACUCAUGAAAUAAUGAAAAUUUUCUUCCUGAAAUAAUGAAAAUUUUCCUCCUGAAAUAAUGACCAGCACAGGAAAAUGAAGACAUUCUGUGGGUGAGCAGACCAUUGCAGGCUGAACAUGAUCGAUUCUGCAUGGAGAGUUAAUAAUUUAUCAUUAAGGAACAAACUGAGAAAGACUUUAUGCUGUCAGUUCAUGCAGUGGGGAUAAAAGAAGAUAUUUAUUUGGUCCUGUUUUUGCAACAAUAAAAUUUGGAUUAAUUUACAACAGCAGUUCAAUGGAGAUGUCUGCUCCAUAAAGGGAGGGAAGGCAAAGAGGGAACCGUGGAGCAAAUAUAAUUGUCUUGAAAGCUGUGGUUUAACAGAAACAAGCCUGGAAAAGCUUCCUUGAGCCACUGAGUUAAGCCCAGCCCCUCCUUCUCUCACUGUAUAAAAUUCUCACCAGAGCUCACUCUGAAAGAACUGGAUGUAAAUAUAAAUCUUCAGCUGAAAUACAGCAGAAGUUCUACAGACCCCAGCAUGUUCACAUCUGUCACAGCUACUUUACAUUAAGACUUUCAGAAACUUGUGUUACAGCUCAGCCAUCAGAUUUGAUUUUCCUAUCACCUUGAACACCUAAAAAGAUUUUGGAGGCAUAUAUAUAUAUAUAUUUUAUUUUUUUUUAAAUCAUAAAGCAAUUUAAGUUCUGUUGGUUGAGCCCUGAUCAGGCUCAUAUUUGAGCAUGUGCUAAACUUCACUCAUAUAAACAACCCCAGAAUUGACAGCAGGGCUUCAAAAUGCCAUUUUGUUCCCCUGAAUAUUGAAAAAAAUAUGGCUGGUUUAAAAAUAUCCAUCAGCCUAACCAGCACAGCACAAUGCAAAGUGUGUCAGUCCACUGACAGAGAGGAAAAAUAGACGGGGAGCGUUGCUGUGAGCGAGCAGGGAUGACAAUCAGAAGGAAUAAUGCCAUUUCAGGUGUGGGGAUAUUUGUGUUUGCUCCUGGUGGCGAUGGCUGUGGCACCCAGCUCAUCCUCAGCGCUGUGGCAGCAGGGGAUGGAGCUGGAAUGCAGGAAACGACUCCCAGAGAUACCCACAGGUAAAAAUUAUGAAAACAUAUUCAGCAGUUGCAGCUCCUUCAGUCUAUCGGCUACAUAAAAGGCAUUUAUAAAAGAAGCCUAAAUACAUAUUUAACCAAUUGACCAGAAUGGCACUGAAGGAGUUUUAACAUAUUUUGAAAAAUUGCCUAAAUACAUAUUUACCCAAUAGACUGGAACAGCUGCUUCAGAGUCUCUCUGGUCUCUUGGGUCUGUAAUA
Non-coding RNA from Zonotrichia albicollis (white-throated sparrow), 2199 nucleotides. The record is from RefSeq and is a predicted model, not a curated record. NCBI's taxonomy places the organism in Eukaryota, Metazoa, Chordata, Aves, Passeriformes, Passerellidae.